Molecule: long non-coding RNA, 1432 nt
Filed under: Canis lupus familiaris (dog)
Lineage: Eukaryota; Metazoa; Chordata; Mammalia; Carnivora; Canidae
Description: lncRNA (ENSCAFG00000054484.1)
Source: RNAcentral
UUCAUUCAUUCAUUCAUUCAUUCAUUUUAAUUUUAUUUUUUUCCCCUGUCAUUUAAAUUUUUUUUUCUUUUUUUUUAGACUGAGGCCAAGAACUCAGCACACAAUUCCCAGGCACACCAACCAGGGUGCAAACAAGUUUUCAACCUUGUGUGGCAGUUGAAAAUAAAAUCUUUAAUGUGAACAGUAGCAUGCCCUGCAAAGAACCAGCUAGGGAAGAAGUUUGGAAUGGAAUAGGACCCCAGAGAAUAGAAACACUGGAUGCGUCCAGGUCUUCAUUUGCUCCCUUGGAGGAUACCUUGCUUCUGUUUUCUCCUCUGCCCUAAAGAUGAGUGAGUGACCCAUGAGGAAAUGCAAAGAGCCAUUCCUGUUAGCUGGGCCACCCAGGUAAAGAACAGGUAUAAUAACAAAUGAAACCACAUCCAAAAUUUCGAAGAAGCACUGCAGAAGGAGAUUUUGUGCUGCCUUCACCUAGGCAAGAGUGUGCCUCCCCUGCAGAGCCCUGUGAACCGAGAUCUCAACCAAGAAUGUGAGUGGGCUAGACCAACAGGGAAGGGGGAAGGGCAGGGAGGACACAGCCACCUCCAGGCCCUAGCACUAAUGGUCCCACAAGUCUGAAAUCUGGACAGGAUGCAUCUCCAAGCAUUCUCUGAAUGGAUCUUUGUCAAAAAUUUUGAGGGUAUCAAGGGAAAAGCUUCUCGCUAGAUUGAGCCAAGUAUACCCUUUCAUCUGCUCAGAUGACUGUGCUAAUGAGCAAACUUCUAAGUAGUAGACAUGGUUAAUUUUUGUAUGAGACACACUCAAUGGAAUGAAAUUAAGGGAAUUAUCCUAUCUUUGUGCAUGCUUACCAGUUCUAUUUUUGAAUUUCAAUUGGAAACAUGAUUUUUCUCUUGUCACUCCCUUCUCUGAGACUACGGCAUGCGAAAGAAAGCUGCGUUGUAAGUAUACCUUCUCUCCCUUGCAUUCAUCACCUUCCAUCACAAAGCACAGAAACUUAGCAGGUGAAAAUCAUCACCCAGCUUCCCAGCCUGGCGGAUGGCUCUGUUGGGGGAUGUACAGGAGGUGUAGGAGGAGAAGAGAGGGUUCCUUCAGAUAUGCUCGUUGAACUGCAGGUGGGCAGGCCCCUGUUUAUUUUCCCAGUGGAACACCACGUAGUUUACACUCAGUCUCUUCCAACCAAAAUGAUUGAGGAAAUAAUGAUUACCAAGUAAUCUAGCCUUUGGAUCUAAUCCAUAUGGCAUCCCAUUUGUGAGCCUCGGGGAGAUGCAAUGUUGGCCAGUGUUGGUUGAUGGGAAUGCAAACUGGUGCAGUCACUCUGGAAAACAGUAUGAAGUUUCUUCAAAAAGUUAAAAAUAGAACUACCUCAUGAUCCAGCAAUGGCACUACUAGGUAUUUACCUAAAUAAUACAAAAAUAUUAUUCAAAGGGAUACACAC